This 73-nucleotide transfer RNA is filed under the name Parasedimentitalea psychrophila. Its description in RNAcentral is "Parasedimentitalea sp. QS115 tRNA-Phe". The record is from RNAcentral. Lineage: Bacteria; Pseudomonadati; Pseudomonadota; Alphaproteobacteria; Rhodobacterales; Paracoccaceae.
GUAAUUGAUUUUAAUAUAGUGGAUGAGAUUGAAAAUCCUCGUGUCGGUGGUUCGAUUCCGCCCCUGGGCACCA